This 460-nucleotide ribosomal RNA is filed under the name uncultured bacterium. Its description in RNAcentral is "partial 16S ribosomal RNA". It matches the Rfam family "Bacterial small subunit ribosomal RNA", at positions 338 to 795 of the family's 1533-position model. The record is from RNAcentral.
CCUACGGGUGGCAGCAGUGAGGAAUAUUGGUCAAUGGCCGGAAGGCUGAACCAGCCAUGCCGCGUGAAGGUCAGUGCCCUAUGGGCGUUAAACUUCUUUUGUGCGGGAGCAAUAAUGGUCACGUGUGGCCAGACGAGAGUACCGUACGAAUAAGCAUCGGCUAACUCCGUGCCAGCAGCCGCGGUAAUACGGGGGAUGCAAGCGUUAUCCGGAUUUAUUUGGUUUAAAGGGUGCGUAGGCUGUGAGGUAAGUCAGCGGUGAAAUGCCCCCGCUCAACGGGGUGAAGUGCCAUUGAUACUGCCUUGCUGGAAUGCAGAUGACGUGGAAGACAUGUGUUGUGUAGCGGUUAACUGCCUAGAUAUCACACAGAACCCCGCUUGCGACGGCAUCUCACGAAUCCGCGAUUGACGCUGAUGCACGAAAGCGUGGGUAUCAAACAGGAUUAGAUACCCUUGUAGUC